Long non-coding RNA from Labeo rohita (rohu), 663 nucleotides. RefSeq lists it as uncharacterized. The transcript is spliced from 3 exons. The record is from RefSeq and is a predicted model, not a curated record. Lineage: Eukaryota; Metazoa; Chordata; Actinopteri; Cypriniformes; Cyprinidae.
ACCGUGAGUGAAGAGGACGAAUGUGUGUUUAUCUGCUUCUUCUCCGAAUAUGGCUCUGAUCUUCUCCACUGAUAGUCUCUCCUCCUCAGUAAACGGGCCAAAUUUAAUGACCAGGAUGAUGGCGUGAGGUCCAGAUGAAGCACUUUCGUCAGCUCUGAAGACUUCUCUGCCCAGUAUGGUGUUUCCAGAGGAGCUUUUACCUGCUCCAGUCAGACCAACCAACACCAGCCUUCUCAGGGACACUGAAAAAGAGUGAGAGGAUAUGAUCAUGUGCAUACAAAUGAAACAGAUUGCAGCUUACAAGCAGACUGACUGACUGUAAAGUACUUAUUAGGCCUUAAACGCUUGAGGACGCCAUGGUGCAAAACAACUGUGCAGCUCUAGGAGAUGGUGACUUCCUCAAAAUUUGAGGCUCAAAUGCAAUCGCCGUUAGUUACCGAUCCUUUCCUCUGAUUCAUUUCAAUUUAUUUCUUGCUGUAGACUAUGAUCUGUCACAAACUUCAUUUAUGAAUUAACCGACCACAAUAUAAUUGUUAGCCCACUGAUAAUAACAUUGAAUUGUAAUGGAUUCGUAAACGUUUUCCUGUAAUUUAAAUAAAUGAUUAUUAUUAUUUGUAGUUUUUAGUGAUUGAUUAUAGCCUACACUGUAAAAAAUGAUCUUUU